GGCGGCGGUAGCACGCGGUGGCAUAGGCGGCGGCGCAUGGGCGGCAUAGGGUUGCGGCGCACGGCGGUGGAGGCACAAGGAUAUGGCAGCGCCAGGCCCCAACACCCCUCAGCACCCCACACGCUUAAAAGAAUAGAACAGUGGCAGCUGUUGGUUCAGCGGAAGAAGAAAAACAUCGGUUUGUUUGCUUUGCAUAUGGAUAAAAGGAGAUGCAAACAAAAUGGCUGAUUGUCCUCUGCCGCAAAGACACUCAAUGUGUUACUCUGCAAUUUGGAGUAUCUGAACAUGCAGAAGAAAAAUUGAACAGAUGGAUUUUGUGGCAACUGGAACGGUGGAAUUCAUGUUGCUCAAUGAUCAGGACUUCCUUUUUUUGUUUUGUUUUCCAAAGGCCUUGCGUAGUUAUUAGUUGGUUUGUAUUGAUGCUUGUAUGAAUACGGUUCCCAAGCACUUGCAUAGAAAAAGAUGUGGCAUAAUUACCAGUUUA
Oryza sativa Japonica Group (Japanese rice) is the source of this 484-nucleotide non-coding RNA. Lineage: Eukaryota; Viridiplantae; Streptophyta; Magnoliopsida; Poales; Poaceae. The record is from RefSeq and is a predicted model, not a curated record.